Long non-coding RNA from Salvia splendens (bonfire salvia), 613 nucleotides. RefSeq lists it as uncharacterized. NCBI's taxonomy places the organism in Eukaryota, Viridiplantae, Streptophyta, Magnoliopsida, Lamiales, Lamiaceae. The record is from RefSeq and is a predicted model, not a curated record. The transcript is spliced from 3 exons.
CAAGUGGCAUUAAAAACUAGUGCUAUGUAUUUUCCCUAAAUCUCUCCUUAUGCCGUGAGUCUUGGGGCUAUUGUUGCAGCCAUUUACAGUUCACAUGGUUCUGGUCCCGUAAUGGGGAAUUCAGUACUUAAUUCAAAUAUCUCUCUAUGCAUUUCCUCUCAUUUUUCCAACACACGGCUCCAUCUUUGGUACCUUUGUGCCUCAUUGAUCUAUUUUAGCAGAGACUGUUUCUCCACACAGGAGAGGUAUUAGAAAUGCACCAAAGGCUUUGAAACCUAUCCCAGUAAUAAUCAAGUGCAAGGUAUGCGGCCGUGUCAAGCUACCUCACUUCUUCUGUUGCAGCGGGAUCAAGCCAAAUCCUGAAGAAACCAACAAUUAGUGUUCUUGAUCUGCUGCAUGAAUUGAAGUUUACGUGAGAUGAACUUUGAUCUACUGAGCACGUUGUCGCUUAGAUUUGGAUGUGAUCAUUUUUACCAGAUUAUGUACUCCUCUUUGCUUGCCAUUUCUACUUCUGUUAGUAGUACUCAGUACACAUCUUGCAGUUGUUGAGCAGGAUGAGACUCUCUCUCUGCUCAGUUCUGAACAAUGCUUAUGAUGAAUUUUGACCCGUGUU